GGAGGGGGAGGGAGGGGGUGGAGGUGAUGGCAGAGAUAGGAGGUGGGGGUGGAGGUGAGCAGAGGGUCCUAGUUUGAGGGAAGGAGGGAGUGGGUGUGGGUCAGGAGCCCAGGUGAACACUUGCCCGGCAGGGGAGCGGUGUGUUGCCUUCAUUCCACAGCUGUUCUCUCCCGUUUUCUCAUUCUGCACCUUUUACUUCCUGCGUUGGUUAGAGAGGGUCAGAACUCUGUUCCUGUGCCGGGUUUGGGCAGCGGCCUUUGGGCAGGGAAUUUGCCUGUGUCGGGUCAGUAACCAAACAUUGUUCUGGUUGGUGCCAGGCUCUGGGGUGAGGUGUUCUCUCACUCUGUUCCUCUCGCGGCCACCCCCGGAGGUGGGGGUUGUUGUUCCAUUGUAUAGGUGAGGAAACUGAGCCCUUGGAGUGAGCCACCUCUCCCUGGACACUCUGAGGUUUGCUUGUUUGUUUUCAAAGGGCCUGUUAAAAAGCAGUUUACUGUAUUAAAUCUUGUAUUCCCUUCUACGGUCCUCGGGGUAGCUGAGCGCUGCCUGUCUGGGGGUAAUACUUUACCAUAAGUGUCACUCAGGUGGGAGAUGAGGUUUGAAGGUCUGAAGCUUUCUCCCUUCUCGCUGUUCUUUACUGGCUUCCCUGGGUGUUGGUGUCAGGCCUCCCUGCUCAUCGCACCCCUAAGGACAAAAGGAGAAGACAUCCUUGUUCUGUUUGUGUCAAGAGACUCAGACUGUGUCCCUGCGAGCUGGUGCCUGUUCAUCCAAAGUGAGCCAGGGGCUGCUGCUGCCAGCACCUCCCCAGCAAGGUCCAAGGUGCCCCUGUGUGGGGGCCGGCGUGGCUAAUAGCUUCUGCUGAGUGCACUCACUCCCACUGUUGUGCCUCUCAGUGAGGACCAGUGCUGUCCUCCUACAGAGGACACUGAAGCUGAGGGGACUUAAGGCCCCGUAUGUGGGGCGAGCAUUUAUGCCCGGGCAGGACACACCUCUCCACUGGACACAUGGUUCUCUUUAAUGUCAUCGUACCCCUGAUAUCCAUGGGUCCUGUCCCUCCACUUUAUAUGUGAGGAAAUUGAGGAUCAGCAAAGUGAAGUGAGUGUGCAGAACUCCCUGCCUAGUAAGUGGUGUGGUUGGAGCUAGACUAGGAUUGGCUGAUUCUGACAUCUGCCUAGACUUUGGACACAAUUUAGUGGCCCAGCCCCUGACUGAGAUCAGAUCACUCGAACAAUCCAAGGAGCACAUUGCCAGGGCAGAGCAUCUGUGCACAGCAGGGAAAGAGCAUCAGACAUGAAGAGUCUUCUAGUGCUGCAGGUGAAGAUGGGCACCCAGGUGCCUUUCCCUCCCUCUCCUCUACCUGUGACAACAAAUACAGAUGUGGUGACUCAUUAAUUCCCUUUGCUGCUGGAAAUUUUCCACCCAUGUUCCCUGGUGGACCAGUGUGCUGGAUGCAGGCAAGACAGCCCUGAGAUGGGAGAGGAAGCUGAGACUCCCUGUCACAGAUGAUGCCAGCUGCACACUAGCCCCGCUGGCCACCCUCUAGCAGGGUUCAGAGACAUCUUUCUACAGCCCCAAUACAAACAUCUCAGUGCCCUCUCUACUAUCCUUGUUACAUCCAAGCUCAGUGUGCCAUUCGCAACUCACAGUGGCUGAUGCCAUUGGGAAUGGUGGAACACCAUGAGAACCCUCUCCUCCAUAGAAGCAAUGACAGCGUUGGAGAAAAUGGUCUGAAUCAACAUUGUUAGAACAUUGCAAAUUAACCAAAGUCUAGCAGGAAUCCGGGAAUGUUCAUUUAAGAAAAACAGCAAAAUCUUGGUAAGAACAGUGAGCUUGGUGCAAUUUUAACUUGCUCUAUUCCAUCCUCCCAUCUCCCAGUUCACAAAAGGUUUGAAAGCCAACAGCUGCCAUCAUGAUGAAAACCUGUAGCCUGGCAGCGUCUGGCAGGGGCAGAACUUGGCUGGCAGUCUUUCAAAACCCCAUUCACAGAAAAUUAUUUGACCGUCUGGAAAUUCACUGGAAAACACCACUGAUGGGCUUACCUUUAUCUGAGCUGACUCACAUUCACAAACAAACAGCAAACCCUGAGAUGGGGUAGGGGAAUGAUUUUCAGAGUUGCCACAGUAUGUUAUCCAGUUUUUAAUAAAAAUACGAGACAUGCAAAAAAACACGAAUGCGUGGCUUACACAGGAAUAAAAAAAAAAAGGCAGUGAAUAGAAACUAUCCCAGAGGAAGCCCAGACAUUGAACUUAUUUGAUAAAACCUUUAAAAUCAGCUACUUUAAAUAUGCUCAAAGAACGAACAAUGUCAAAAAAGCUAAAGGAAAGUAUCAGAAUAAUUCCUCAUCAAAGAAGGAAUACCAAUAAAGAGAUAGAAAUUAUUUUUAACAAUAAACAAGUCAAGAUGGUGGAGGAUGUAGCUCAGUAGCAGAGUGCGUGCUUAGCAUGCACAGGGUUCUGGGCUGAAUCCUCAGUGCCACCGUUAAAAUAAAUGAAUAAAUAAGUAAGUAAGCCUCACUCCCUCCACAAAAAUCCAACCUAAUAGAAAUUCCAAAUUUGAAAAACAAAAUAACUGAAAUGAAAAAUUCACCUGGGGGCUUAACAGCAGAUUUGAGGCUGAAGAAAGAAUCAGUGAAUUUCAAGGUAGUUCAAUUAGUUUACCCAGUCUGACGAACAGAAUGAAAAAAGGACAAAGAUAGAGGAACAGAGCCUCAGAGGCUUGAGGGAGACCAUCAAAAAUAGCAACACACUCAUGAUGAGAAUCUCAGAAAAGAGGAAAGAAAAAGGGGCAGAAGAAGUAUUUGAAAAAGCAAUGGCUAAAAAUAUCCCAAAUUUGAUGAAAUACACUAACCUAAAUAACAAAGAAUCUCAAUUAGGAUAAACUCAAAAAAUCCACACCUAGACACAGCAAAAUGAAACUCUCAAGAGCCAAAGACAAGGAGAGAAUCUUGAAAGCAGGAAGAGGGAAGUAACUUGUUACACAGAACCUUAAUAAAGGUUUUAGGAUCUGUCUCAUCAGAAAUUAAUGGAGGCCACAGGACAAUGCGAUGGCAUAUUCAAAGGCUGAACUAAAAACACAAGAAUUGUAUCGAGCCAAAACUGCAGCUGUUCCCUCUGCCUAGACCCGCUUUCUCCCAGUGUCUUCAUGGCUUCCCCCCAUUCGGGUCUCAAGUGUCCCCUAACCUGUUCUAGUUAACAUUGCUCAUGGCUCCAUACUGAUCGUCAUUGUUUCAUUUUUCUCCAUAGUCACACAUGUCACCCUUGAAAUACCUCCCCCGACUAGAAUGGAAGCUUCUGGAGGGCAGUGAUGUUUGACUCUUGCCUUCACUGCUGAAGACCCAAGCCCCUGGAGCACUACCUAGCACAGAUACCCUUCAGUAAAUAUUUGUUGCAUUAGAACACUUGCUAGUUACUAUAAAGAAGCAAUGGUUGCGCUCUUACUAGGUCCAGGGUAUUAUUCUAAGUGCUUUGUUAAUCCAUGUACCCCUCACAACCUAUGAGAUGGACUCCAGUCUUGUUCCCAUUUUGCAGAUGGAAGGACUGACACAUGAAGGUGUUGGCUAAGUUGCUCAUGGUCCUGUUGCUGUACAUGGGGGAGCCGGACAGUCUGACUGGAGUCCAGGCUCUCACUGCUGUUCCCCUCCUGCCUUUCCCGGGCUGACGCUCAGGAACCCCCUCAUCCUGGAGACUGUGCCCUGCUGCUUAUUACUUGGACCCGUGUUUCAGCCACUCUGGAUCUCUUAGCUUUUUAUAUGAUUAUAUGGUUUCACACUCAUCUUAGUUUCCCAGGUGCUAUUUGCACUUCUGAAUCAACCCGCUCUUCCUUUCUUCUUCAGUUUUUCCCUCCUUCCUUCCCUGUUGGUCUGGAUAAAUUCCUGGGUGGGCUCCAGACCCUGCUCCAGCCUGGCUGCAUCAGCCAAGUGGGUGUUGUGCCUCCCUGCAGAAAUCUGGGCUUCCCGUAUCAUCGCUUCCCUGUGCUCCAUCCCUCCCUGCUCGGAGCCGCCUUCUCCGGAUGUUGAGCUCCUGAGGACAGGGACCUGGCGUGUAAGAGGUCCUGCACACGUGCUUGCCUGUGUGCAUGGAGGAUGUCAGGGUGCUUCAGCGGGAGGCUGAGGAGGACAGACAGGGCCAGCGCUGGGGGGCUUUCCUAGCAUGGGGGUUGGCAGUGCUCAGUCCGUGUUCGUGAAACGCCAUGACUGGGCAGAGGCUGAGAAGACAGUGGGUGCAGAAAGGCAUGUGAACGCAUGGUUAGUUAUAGAGUAGAGAAGGA
This is a non-coding RNA of Vicugna pacos (alpaca), 4263 nucleotides long. The record is from RefSeq and is a predicted model, not a curated record. Lineage: Eukaryota; Metazoa; Chordata; Mammalia; Artiodactyla; Camelidae.